AAACAACGUUGCCACACGCGGAGAGCACGGAGAUUUCUGGGGCUUUGGAGGGAAUCGUGAGCGGGCGGGAGGAGGCCGGGGACCACACAGAGAAUAACUUGUCUGACUACCAGUAUUCUUGGAUGCAGAAGUGCUGAAGAUGAGCACACACACGUACGGAGAAUUUCUGGAGAAUUCAGCUGCUCAGAACAAGAACUGAGAUCCAGAGAGAUGAUGACUUUGCCCAUAGACCAAACAAAGAAAUACAUGUUUCAGUCCUGUGUCCUCCUGCUAUGUGUGUCCGGAAUUGGUGGGUUCUUGGUCUCACUGACUUCAAGAAUGAAGCUGCGGACCCUCGCGCUCACAGGAUAUCGGCCAUGUUAAUGAGUCUGAUGUUGCUAGUAUCACAGGCACCGGAAAAUAUGCACAUUAUGCUGGAGCAUUAGAAUGCAACAGAAAGAGCCCUGGGCUUGGAGUAUGCAGAACUGGUUCUUGUUACAACUCCUCUUACUAGUGGGCUCUGGAAGAAAACACAUUGAAUUCAUGAUCAUGGUUAACCUUUGGAGAGAGAGAGGAGACCAGGAUGAAGGAGCCAGUCGAAGAUCCUGUUCAAGUGUACACUGAGCCAGCAGGUUCACCAGAAAGCUAUUGAGCGUUUGCUGGAACACAUUAUGCAGGGUGAAUUUCUUCUGGAAUGUUGCCAAGGAUUUUUUAUGCUUCUGUGGCAGGCAUUUCUUGAACAUUGUCAUUUAGCCAAGCAAAGAAGAUUUUCUUAAAGGAUAGAAAAUGUUUAAAAAUUUUUGUUUGUUUGAAGAUAGGUUAAAUGGCUAUAUGAUCUCAGGAUAAGACAGAGAAAAUCACUUAUUUCUCUAAGUGAUCUGAUUAGGUUAGUGAUGUUUUGCCUUUAAACAGAUUCAUCAUUAUUCCUAAAGUAUUGCUGUAUUAAUACUGUCUUCUAGAAAGUAUCCACCAGUGCCUACUUUUCUUCGAUAUCAUUAGCUGUUUUUCGAAACUGAAUUUGCUCUUCAGAGAUUUCUCAUAUGUUUGCGUAUAAGGAACUACUGGUAAUAGCCAAGAAAAUUUGGAGGUGCAGAGAACAUGCUGAAACAGAAUUUUUCACUUUCAAUUCUAGAACUAUGCCAUAAAAAAAAAGGAAAAUGUAAAAAUGUCUUUAUAUUAGAGCAGAUAUUUUAAAAGUAUUGCAAAUUCAAUGAUAAAUUCUAAGGUUAAAAUUGGACACAUAAAAAAUACAAUAUAUAAAUAUCUCCCCAGAAAUUAUUAUCUAAUGAAUAGUAAAAGCUGACUACAAACCAUGUCAUUUUAACAAGGGUUUAAAUAGUACCAAGAUUCUCAUCAUAUGCUCUGGGAUACCCAGUGAUGUACAAGGGUUCUCUCUAAACAUGGGGAGGAAAAAUUUCAAAUAUAAAGAUUUGAAUCUUG
Molecule: long non-coding RNA, 1419 nt
Organism: Homo sapiens (human)
Lineage: Eukaryota; Metazoa; Chordata; Mammalia; Primates; Hominidae
Gene: KLF3-AS1
Product: KLF3 antisense RNA 1
Source: Ensembl